AGUCUUGUUUCUGUUCAGCUCGUAUAAAUCUUUUGCCUUUUACUAAAGAUUUCUGUGGAGAGAAACAAGGAAAGUUUAUCCCAAUUUUUGAUACUCAACUAUUUGGUGCAG
This 111-nucleotide small nuclear RNA is filed under the name Poecilia reticulata (guppy). RNAcentral describes it as "U5 spliceosomal RNA (ENSPREG00000003790.1)". It matches the Rfam family "U5 spliceosomal RNA". From Rfam's summary of the family: U5 RNA is a component of both types of known spliceosome. The precise function of this molecule is unknown, though it is known that the 5' loop is required for splice site selection and p220 binding, and that both the 3' stem-loop and the Sm site are important for Sm protein binding and cap methylation. Lineage: Eukaryota; Metazoa; Chordata; Actinopteri; Cyprinodontiformes; Poeciliidae. The record is from RNAcentral.